This 253-nucleotide ribosomal RNA is filed under the name uncultured bacterium. RNAcentral's name for it is "partial 16S ribosomal RNA". It matches the Rfam family "Bacterial small subunit ribosomal RNA", at positions 524 to 776 of the family's 1533-position model. The record is from RNAcentral.
UACGGAGGGGGCUAGCGUUGUUCGGAAUUACUGGGCGUAAAGCGCGCGUAGGCGGACCUGCAAGUCGGACGUGAAAUCCCUCGGCUUAACCGGGGAACUGCGUCCGAUACUGGAUGGCUUGAGUUCGGGAGAGGGAUGCGGAAUUCCAGGUGUAGCGGUGAAAUGCGUAGAUAUCUGGAGGAACACCGGUGGCGAAGGCGGCAUCCUGGACCGACACUGACACUGAGGAGCGAAAGCCAGGGGAGCAAACGGG